This 72-nucleotide transfer RNA is filed under the name uncultured archaeon. RNAcentral's name for it is "tRNA-Val(tac)". It matches the Rfam family "tRNA". From Rfam's summary of the family: Transfer RNA (tRNA) molecules are approximately 80 nucleotides in length. Their secondary structure includes four short double-helical elements and three loops (D, anti-codon, and T loops). Further hydrogen bonds mediate the characteristic L-shaped molecular structure. tRNAs have two regions of fundamental functional importance: the anti-codon, which is responsible for specific mRNA codon recognition, and the 3' end, to which the tRNAs corresponding amino acid is attached (by aminoacyl-tRNA synthetases). tRNAs cope with the degeneracy of the genetic code in two manners: having more than one tRNA (with a specific anti-codon) for a particular amino acid; and 'wobble' base-pairing, i.e. permitting non-standard base-pairing at the 3rd anti-codon position. The record is from RNAcentral.
GGUCCAUUAGUCUAUCGGCUAGAACACCUCGUUUACACCGAGGAAGGAGAGGUUCGACUCCUCUAUGGACCA